Papaver somniferum (opium poppy) is the source of this 1823-nucleotide long non-coding RNA. RefSeq lists it as uncharacterized. The record is from RefSeq and is a predicted model, not a curated record. NCBI's taxonomy places the organism in Eukaryota, Viridiplantae, Streptophyta, Magnoliopsida, Ranunculales, Papaveraceae. The transcript has 3 exons.
CCCCCUCUCAAAAUUCAACUUUCCUCUUUCCAAACCGAAAACCCCAAUUCCAUCUGUAUAAACCCUAGAUUUUUCAAGAUCUCUCGGAACCAUCACCUGAGAAUCGUUGUUUCUUCGACUACAAAGGGUUUUGAUGGAGUAUUUCAAGCGUCUUCCAGAGGAAAUCACAUUAGACAUCCUUACUCGGGUACCCACUGAAUCGAUCCUCCAAUGCAAAUUAGUGUGCAAAACUUGGAGGAAUCUUGUUGGUUAUCCAUCAUUUUCGAAGAUGCACCUACAUCAUCAUCUUAAUCGUCUUGCUGCUGCUGAUUCCGGUAAGUUGGGUUUUAUUGCAAUGGGUGGGAGGGCUCUGAAUGGUGAUGAUAAAUUUCAUUAUUUUGAAUACAAUGAGAAUCAUGAGACAACCCCAAUUGAGAGAAUUAAAAGGGUUAAUAUAAAUUCUCCGUUUAAAGGUAGCAGUGUUCUUCUUGGUUCGUCUAAUGGUUUGGUAUUUCUUUCAACAUGCCCAACUUACACAGAUGACUGUAAUAGAUCUGUUUGUAUUUGUAACCCAAUCACCUAAGAGUAUGUUGUGCUUCCAGAUAUUAAGAAGAAAGAACGUCGUGUUAUGAAUCAGUAUGUUGUUUGGUUGAUUGGGUUUGGUUACGUUUCUUCCACAAAUGAAUACAAAGUUGUACAGAUAUAUAUGUUGAGGAACCAGCAGUUUGUACAAGUUUAUGUGUACACACUAGGCAGUGGCAAUGGGUGAAGAAACCUUGGGGAAUUCAGUACUAAAAUCAAAGUAUAUCGUUGGUUCAAUGCUGUCGUUGCCAACGAAGCUCUUCACUGGAAGGAUACUGAAUCAGAAAUGAUUGUGACCUUCGAUUUGGCUGAGGAAAAGUUAUAUGAAAAUCGUUCGCUACCUCCUUUGCCACCGGACGGUAAUUGGUCUCGUAAUGCAAUAGAGGUUUUUGAUGGAGUUUUGUUUUUUGGUGUGUAUGUUGAAGGAGCCGAAUGUUUAGAAAUAUGGCUAUUAGAAAAGAAGAAUGACAAUCAUGACAUAAAAGAGGGAGAUGAACAUCUGUCAUUGGUUUGGAGUAAAAAGUUUAGGGUUGCUAAUAGCUUAUUUUUAUUUGCUACAAAGAGUGACUGUGUUUUAACUUACGAUUGGGACGGGUUUCUCACCGUUUACGACACAAAAGAUUCAACCUCGAGAAGGCUUAUGCAUUUGAAGGAAGGGUUUUGUCAAGUAUUUGCUCACAAGAACACCUUUGUUUCUUUGAAAGAAUUAGGGGAAAAAGAUAUAAAGAUAAUGGAGUCAGUUGAAGUUGAGGAGAUCGAAAGCCUUGUGAUUAGCCUUUGAAGCAGUUGUUGAGGAUGAGGUCCAUGCAUACAUACUUCUAAACUGACGAGUUUCUGAGGGAUGUUGUUGUCUGCCAACAAUAGCAUAUAUUUAAAGCUUCAAUCAGUAGUCAGCACUAGCUACCCUGUGAAUAGUCACUACUGCAAAUGUUUUUGGAGAAUGGGGUGAUCAUCCAAACAGGACAUCUUUUGUCUAGAGAACUACUGGAAGUGUUUGUACCAAUGUUGCACUUCAAUUAGACCCAAAGCUCAUGUAAGAUGUGCCCUAGGGCAGAUUUGCUAAAGUUUGCCAUCUUUGAAACUCGAGAAGGAUCACGUAAGCUUUAGAGAAUGGCGUACAAUGCUUUUGAAAAAGGUGCUGCCACAGCUAUGGGCAGAUCAAUCCACGUGCGAAGCAACAUGAACAAUGCCUGGAAAAACUGCUAUGCCCCUUGUGUACAAUGUAUACCACUCCACCAGUCAUUAGACUCAACUGACUUGGA